GCGUCCCCUGCCCCACACAGAUGUGCUCAGGGCUGUUGCAGGACAUGAGAUCAAUAUGUUCCUAAUCUGGGCAGUACCAGGCAUGCUGCAGACACUCAGCCUGUCCCUUUCUCCUGCCAGGCAGUGUGACCAGCUCCCCGGCAAGGCCAUCACCCCCAGCUCCCCAUGCCCGGCUCC
This 177-nucleotide long non-coding RNA is filed under the name Anser cygnoides (Swan goose). Its description in RNAcentral is "lncRNA (ENSACDG00005006996.1)". Lineage: Eukaryota; Metazoa; Chordata; Aves; Anseriformes; Anatidae. The record is from RNAcentral.